GCUGGGAUUGUAUAGUGGUUAGUACUCUGCGUUGUGGCCGCAGCAACCCCGGUUCAAAUCCGGGUCAUGGUA
Molecule: transfer RNA, 72 nt
Filed under: Megalops atlanticus (tarpon)
Lineage: Eukaryota; Metazoa; Chordata; Actinopteri; Elopiformes; Megalopidae
Rfam family: tRNA
About the family: Transfer RNA (tRNA) molecules are approximately 80 nucleotides in length. Their secondary structure includes four short double-helical elements and three loops (D, anti-codon, and T loops). Further hydrogen bonds mediate the characteristic L-shaped molecular structure. tRNAs have two regions of fundamental functional importance: the anti-codon, which is responsible for specific mRNA codon recognition, and the 3' end, to which the tRNAs corresponding amino acid is attached (by aminoacyl-tRNA synthetases). tRNAs cope with the degeneracy of the genetic code in two manners: having more than one tRNA (with a specific anti-codon) for a particular amino acid; and 'wobble' base-pairing, i.e. permitting non-standard base-pairing at the 3rd anti-codon position.
Source: Rfam by way of RNAcentral